GAACGCGAAAGUGGAGCAUCCAUGAGUAGAGUGGCAAACGGGUGAGUAACACGUGGGUGACCUGCCUUCGAGUGGGGGAUAACGUUCCGAAAGGAGCGCUAAUACCGCAUGACAUUCCGCGUUUGGAAACGUGGAAAUCAAAGCCGGGGAUCGCAAGACCUGGCGCUCGGAGAGGGGCCCGCGGCCGAUUAGCUAGUUGGUGAGGUAACGGCUCACCAAGGCAACGAUCGGUAUCCGGCCUGAGAGGGCGGACGGACACACUGGGACUGAGACACGGCCCAGACUCCUACGGGAGGCAGCAGUGGGGAAUUGUUCGCAAUGGGCGCAAGCCUGACGACGCAACGCCGCGUGGAGGACGAAGAUCUUCGGGUCGUAAACUCCUUUCGAUCGGGAAGAACGUUCUCCGGGUGAAUAAUCCGGAGAAGUGACGGUACCGAGAGAAGAAGCCCCGGCUAACUCCGUGCCAGCAGCCGCGGUAAUACGGGGGGGGCAAGCGUUGUUCGGAAUUACUGGGCGUAAAGGGCGUGUAGGUGGCCAACUAAGUCCGACGUGAAAUCCCCAGGCUCAACCUGGGAACUGCGUCGGAUACUGGCUGGCUUGAAUUCGGGAGAGGGAUGCAGAAUUCCAGGUGUAGCGGUGAAAUGCGUAGAUAUCUGGAGGAAUACCGGUGGCGAAGGCGGCAUCCUGGACCGAGAUUGACACUAAAGCGCGAAAGCCAGGGGAGCAAACGGGAUUAGAUACCCCGGUAGUCCUGGC
This 756-nucleotide ribosomal RNA is filed under the name uncultured bacterium. RNAcentral's name for it is "bacterial SSU rRNA". It matches the Rfam family "Bacterial small subunit ribosomal RNA", at positions 64 to 800 of the family's 1533-position model. The record is from RNAcentral.